GCUGGGCAUGGUGGUGUGUACUUAUAGUCCAGCUAUUUGGGAGGCUGAGGCAGGAGGAUCCCUUGAGCCCAAAGAGUUCAAGGCCAGUCUGGGCAACACUGUGAGAUACUAUCUCAA
Molecule: small RNA, 117 nt
Filed under: Marmota monax (woodchuck)
Lineage: Eukaryota; Metazoa; Chordata; Mammalia; Rodentia; Sciuridae
Source: RNAcentral